This 907-nucleotide long non-coding RNA is filed under the name Fragaria vesca (wild strawberry). RNAcentral's name for it is "long non-coding RNA (FVES_LNC004924)". Lineage: Eukaryota; Viridiplantae; Streptophyta; Magnoliopsida; Rosales; Rosaceae. The record is from RNAcentral.
CUUGCCCUAAAAGGACUCACUCCCUCUUGAGCUAGGUAAGGAGAAAUUUGAGGUGGAAGUUUUAUGGUGUUUUUGAUGUUUUUAGUCGAUUGCCCUAGUUAGGCUUGGAAUUGGUGUUUGUGCUAGUUAUGAAAGUUGUAGAGGAGAUUGAGAAGAAGAUUCUGUUAAAAUUUGGUAGCUUUUGCAGGUUGCCGGAGUUGGUCGCCGGCCGCCGGCGCCGCCGCCGCUGUUUUGGGAAAUUUUAUGGUUUUUGAUGUAGAAUAUUAAGGGGAUAUUAUUGAAGUGAAUUAUGGAAUUUUUGGAUGAGAUUUGGAUAGGUUUGUGAAUUUCCAAAGUUUGGUAUUUUUGGCGGUUAAUUAAUAUAGAAUCCGGCCGUAGGAUUUAAGUCGUAUUUUGGAGAGGUUGUAUUUACGACUGUUGAGUAUGAUAUUUAAGUUCGGAUUGUUCCGAUGUAAGAAUAUCGAAGUUAGGCAAUGAUGAGCGUAAUAAUGGCUCUCGGGUAAUUUUGCCUAUUUUGAUUAAAUAUUGGAUAUUGGUUGGGAAAUUAAUAUUAUAUUUGGAACAGGACGUGAAGAGGCUCGAGCAGACGAGACCCCAGAUUGACAUCAGGCUUAGGCCUAAUUCGUGAGUGGACUUUUGUUUUAAAUAAAUGCAUGCUAAGUUCACGAUUGAAUAAUUAAUGUCGUGGAGUAUUUUGCCGUCAAUUAAUUUUGACGCUUUUAUUUCUCUGAGAGAGAGUUAUCGAAAAUGGGAUUUUCGGUGAAUAUAAAUAUGUAUAUAUGAGAGAGUAUGUAUAAAAAAAAUGCUAGCUAGCCAUAUGUGUCUGUCCACCUUAAUGGCGUAGCAUAUAGCCGCAUUAUGGUGUGACGUGAGCGUUGGACGUAAAUGUAGUAGCCCUAUAUGAGUG